GAAAAAUGUAAGGAUGCUGAACUUAGUGCAAUAGAUCUUUUAAAGGACAUGCAUUGCAACAAAAAGAAAGGUUUUAGUGAAAAUAUUGAGAAAGCUAUUGUUGACAUGGAAGAAAUAAUGGUAGCACCAAUUUAGGAUGGAUAACAACCAAAAUAUCCUACAAAAGUUGUUUCUAGUAUCAUACCGGGCUCCAGUGUGUUCCUAUGCAAUGUUGGUCUUCGGUCUGCAUCCAAGAAAAGCUCCAUAGCGUCAAUUUCUGCAAAGGUUCAACAACUUUAGGAUGAACUUGAGAUCAAGAAGCAAGAAAUAUUUGUAGUGAACAAAUUCAUGCGAUAUUUUGGUUGUGAUGUGUAAUAUUCCUUGACGAUAUGAAUGCUUAUGAUGUGUUCCUUCUAAUGACUAUUGUAUCUAUCACAAAUGCUUUGGCACAUCACUGCCAUGUCAUCAUAUUUUAUGAUGAAAAUAUUCGUCACAAAUGUAUUGCCA
Molecule: long non-coding RNA, 486 nt
Organism: Zea mays
Lineage: Eukaryota; Viridiplantae; Streptophyta; Magnoliopsida; Poales; Poaceae
Exons: 2
Source: RefSeq, a predicted model, not a curated record